GUCUUUUUUCCCCUAACAUUUAAAACAACACGUUAGGCCUUUUAAGUGUUUGCCAAAGAACCUGGAGUUUUACUGGAGUCUUGACUAACCUGCUGAACUUUUCAAGCUGAAACCCUGAGGGUUACAGUAUAAAAAUUUAGAACCUACUUAGAGCAGCAGUCUCCUCAUGCUGUUACUGGUCUCCUUAAAGUCAGAAACAAGAUCUACAGCUGCUGCUGUCGGUCACCUGAGAGACCAGGCUGAGGCAGCCCAGCGACCUCCCAAGGAGCCUUUUAAUUACUAGGUUCAAGUGUGGUUUGCAGUGAACGUGGCGAAGGAGGUGUGGGCUGCUGUGCAGUGAGGCAGAGGCAGAGCACUCAGUGCGCAUUUGUGCCCUGCCUGUUCCUCCUGGCAACUCCAGGAUGUCAUCAGCCUUGCAGGGAGGGGGCUCACCUUCUUAGUGUGGGAAACUGGCCCCAGGGCAUACCCCCUUGAGCGUUUCGUAGUUAGAAACUUGUGUGCAGCUUCCCAAGGGACCUUCCUGUGUACAGAUGUCCACUCUGUGGAAAAGGAUACAAUGGGAAGCUUCCAGUGUCCUGUGCAGCUUCUUAGAUUCCAUUUGGGAUUCACCUGGAAAAAGCAAUGCCUUACCCCUUGAAGUUUCUCCAUUUAAACUCCAGUUAGGUAAAGGGGAGAAAAGUAGAAAUAUUCACCUUUUGUGUUCCCCAUCUUUUAAUUUUUUGUUGUUUCGGUUAAUAAAAAUAACAUAUUCAGCAUGAGAAUUUGGAAAAUGCAGAAAAGUAGAAGACAAUUAAGCCCCCAGCCCCCCACUCGAUGCUGUGGUAACAAGCAUUCUUGCUCUGCGGCCAACCUCAUACCCUGUAUGCAGCUUGUAUCCUGCCUUUUCCCCUUUUAGAAACUCUUGGCCAAAUAAUCUUAACCAUAAGCAUAGUAUUUCAUAUUAAAAUUUUGUUGGUUUUCUUUUAAAACAUUGUUUUUAAUAUCUUUUGCCAGGUCAGCUUCAAUAAGAUAUAAUUGUACCCAAUGAAGGUCAUCACUUUCAGGAAGCAUCUGGACGAACAGUCCUGCCACGCUCUUUGAAGUUCCCGACACAUGGUAACCAAGACCUGAGGGCAGCAAACCGCUGGUGCUGUCUCUGUGAGCAAGAGCCGGGUGGCACAUUUGGAAGCCAUACUGUAUUUAACUUAAUCAAAUGUGGUAUGGGAGGGGUUGGAAACCAAGUUGUCUCCUGGGGGGAAGAAAAGACAGGUUUUAUUUUUGUGGCUGUGUUUUUUUCCCUUUUUAAUCUAACUGCCUGUUGAUGUUGACACUCAUCAGGGUUGUAGGCUGUCAUGAAUGUGUACGUGCUUAACCAGUGAAUUCCAUGUUGCUCGUGUGAGGCCUUUCCUGUCAUGACCCACUGUGCUUAAGAACCUGCCUGAUGGGGAGUGUCGGCUGUGAAAUCUGCAAAAAGAGCUGACGUUCCGGCUGCCGUGAUCAUGAAUUGGGGGUGUACUCUCCUGCCUGUGCAUCUUCUCGCGCUGAGAUUUUGAGGCGGUUGCAGCCCUCGGUUAGUCUCCCAGUGGAGAGAAAUCAGUUGUGCCUCCCUGCUUCCCACCAUAGCUGCCUGAAAACAUGACGCUCUUACGCUUGUCCUUCCAUCAGGAAGGUGUCCACUCACGCCCACCCAUGAGGGGGCUUGCCGUAUGCCCUGGCCUUUGGGCAUAUUUAUGUAGAGUUCCUUUCUCCUAAGACGUGAGUUUCUGAUGGGGGAUGUACGAGUAAAAAGGUUAACUUCUGUUCUUAUGCGUGGCGCUGUGUUCACUUUCCAGAGUCUGUUUGGAUGGCGGUCUCGGGGUACGGCAGCGUGUGUGUGUAUGUGUGUUUGUGUGUGUGUGUGUGUGUGUGAAAUCGUGCAAAUCUACAUGUCCCAGCCCAUUCUCUGUUGAAACAGAUCACAGCAACGACAAACACUCAUGGCGCCGCUUCACUCCACCCGCUUCAGAUAGAUCAUUGUUAGAUAUUUCACAUUUUUGUAUGGUGGAAAUAAAAAUGAAAAAUGUAUUUCCAAAAGAUGAAAAUUAAAGACAUUUUCAUAGGA
This is a long non-coding RNA of Homo sapiens (human), 2080 nucleotides long. RefSeq lists it as uncharacterized. The transcript is spliced from 2 exons. The record is from RefSeq and is a predicted model, not a curated record. NCBI's taxonomy places the organism in Eukaryota, Metazoa, Chordata, Mammalia, Primates, Hominidae.